UUCUUGGUGCUCAUUUUGCAGAGAUAAUGAGGAAUGCUCUCCAUUCAUCAGGCAAUUCCCCUCCCUCAGACGUUAUAUGCAGAUCUAGAGGAAAAACCCAUUUUGCCACAGUGGGAAGAUCAAGAAGGCGGACAUAAGAGAGAGCUCUGAGAGGGAGAACAGCAAGAAAGCAGUGACAUGACUACUUUCAGGUGUCUAUAAUAAUGUUCAAAUUUCAUGGAAAAAAUGUUGAUUACAAUCAAAGAUACAGCAUUUUGAAAGAUUUCUUAUAUGAUAUUUUCACUUUCAAUUGGAAUAUCUAAAAAUCUAUGAUCCAAACAUAUUAUUACAUUUUUAGAAACCACAUAAAAUACCUUUAAUCUGUUAUUCAAAAAAUACUUGAUCGUUUAGGAGAAAUUAAAGUAUAAACUUUUAAAAGAAGUACAAAUUAUUAUAGCUGUUAUAUACCUAGAAAUAUCGUAAAUUAUAUUGACACUUAAGUUUUUCUUAUGGAUUUUAAUGUGGGGAGUCCAAUUCUAAUGUCAGUUUCUGUGGAUUGUGUCAUCUUCACAUUGAAAAUGUUCAUUAAAACCUUCAGCAUCAAAACUUAGUUACUUCCACUAUGUCAGCUAUUGUUGCUAUUGCAGUGUAAAUUGGCAGAAAGGUUGGCAAUGAUAGUGUGAAUAAAUUAUCAAAAUUUGCUUGAGAUAGUGCUUGCAGUUCUGGGGGAACUUUAAUUUUUUCUUCUCAUAGACUUAGCAGGGGAUUUGGUUAACCAGUUAAAAUUUAAGAGUAAAUCAAGGGGUUCUUUUAACCUGAAAAAAAUGGAAGUGGGGAGCAGGGAUUGAAUCCUUGGCUACAAGCUUGAUAAUACACCAACAUGAAUACUACCAUCAAUCCCUGCUACCUUACUUCUCCUCAUGAACACACAUAUAUACAGAGAGAACAUUCACAUUGAAGAUUUUAACAAUGACUUUUUUAAAAGUUGGAUUUGCU
This 975-nucleotide long non-coding RNA is filed under the name Anolis carolinensis (green anole). RNAcentral's name for it is "lncRNA (ENSACAG00000036744.1)". Lineage: Eukaryota; Metazoa; Chordata; Lepidosauria; Squamata; Anolidae. The record is from RNAcentral.